AACGCGAAGAACCUUACCAGGGUUUGACAUCCUGGGAAUCUUUCCGAAAGGAAAGAGUGCCUUCGGGAAUCCAGUGACAGGUGUUGCAUGGCCGUCGUCAGCUCGUGUCGUGAGAUGUUUGGUUAAGUCCAUCAACGAGCGCAACCCUUAUAGUUAGUUGAAUUUCUCUAGCUAGACUGCCCCGGUAACGGGGAGGAAGGAGGGGAUGAUGUCAGGUCAGUAUUACCCUUACACCCUGGGCUACAAACACGCUACAAUGGCCGGUACAAAGGGCAGCUAAGUCGCGAGACGGAGCAAAUCCCAUCAAAGCCGGUCUCAGUUCGGAUAGCAGGCUGAAACUCGCCUGCUUGAAGCUGGAAUCGCUAGUAACGGUAGGUCAGCACACUACCGUGAAUACGUUCCCGGGCCUUGUA
This 413-nucleotide ribosomal RNA is filed under the name uncultured Candidatus Saccharibacteria bacterium. Its description in RNAcentral is "bacterial SSU rRNA". It matches the Rfam family "Bacterial small subunit ribosomal RNA", at positions 958 to 1385 of the family's 1533-position model. The record is from RNAcentral. Lineage: Bacteria; Candidatus Saccharimonadota.